UUUCAGCAACGGAUCUCUUGGCUCUCGCAUCGAUGAAGAACGCAGCGAAAUGCGAUAAGUAAUGUGAAUUGCAGAAUUCAGUGAAUCAUCGAAUCUUUGAACGCACCUUGCGCUCCUUGGUAUUCCGAGGAGCAUGCCUGUUUGAGUGUCAUUAAAUU
This 158-nucleotide ribosomal RNA is filed under the name Stropharia rugosoannulata. RNAcentral's name for it is "5.8S ribosomal RNA". It matches the Rfam family "5.8S ribosomal RNA". Rfam says of the family: 5.8S ribosomal RNA (5.8S rRNA) is a component of the large subunit of the eukaryotic ribosome. It is transcribed by RNA polymerase I as part of the 45S precursor that also contains 18S and 28S rRNA. The record is from RNAcentral. Lineage: Eukaryota; Fungi; Basidiomycota; Agaricomycetes; Agaricales; Strophariaceae.